RNAcentral lists this ribosomal RNA (305 nucleotides) under uncultured bacterium. RNAcentral describes it as "bacterial SSU rRNA". It matches the Rfam family "Bacterial small subunit ribosomal RNA", at positions 335 to 638 of the family's 1533-position model. The record is from RNAcentral.
ACCCUACGGGAGGCAGCAGUGAGGAAUAUUGGUCAAUGGGCUUACGCCUGAACCAGCCAAGUAGCGUGAAGGAUGACUGCCCUAUGGGUUGUAAACUUCUUUUAUAAAGGAAUAAAACGAGGCACGUGUGCCUUUUUGCAUGUACUUUAUGAAUAAGGAUCGGCUAACUCCGUGCCAGCAGCCGCGGUAAUACGGAGGAUCCGAGCGUUAUCCGGAUUUAUUGGGUUUAAAGGGAGCGUAGAUGGGUUGUUAAGUCAGUUGUGAAAGUUUGCGGCUCAACCGUAAAAUUGAAAUUGAUACUGGCG